CCUACGGGGUGCAGCAGUAAGGAAUAUUGGUCAAUGGUGGAAACCCUGAAGCAGCAACGCCGCGUGGAGGAUGAAGGUUCUCGGAUUGUAAACUCCUUUUGUUAGAGAAGAUAAUGACGGUAUCUAACGAAUAAGCACCGGCUAACUCCGAGCCAGCAGCCCCGGUAAUACGGAGGGUGCAAGGGUUAUUCGGAUUAACUGGGCGUAAAGAGCGCGUAGGCGGGAUAGCAAGUCAGAUGUGAAAUCCUAUGGCUUAACCAUAGAACUGCAGUUGACACUGUUAUUCUAGAGUAUGGAAGAGGUAGGUGGAAUGCUUGGUGUAGGGGUGAAAUCCGUAGAGAUCAAGAAGAAUACUGAUUGCGAAGGCGACCUGCUAGAACAUAACUGACGCUGAUGCGCGAAAGCGUGGGGAGCAAACAGGAUUAGAUACCCGAGUAGUC
RNAcentral lists this ribosomal RNA (440 nucleotides) under uncultured bacterium. RNAcentral describes it as "partial 16S ribosomal RNA". It matches the Rfam family "Bacterial small subunit ribosomal RNA", at positions 338 to 795 of the family's 1533-position model. The record is from RNAcentral.